UGAGGAAUAUUGGUCAAUGGGGGCAACCCUGAACCAGCAACGCCGCGUGAGGGAUGAAGGGGCUCUGCCCUGUAAACCUCUGUCGGACGGGAAAAAAGAGAUCUUCUGGGUCUCGGGAUUGUACCGUUAGAGGAAGCGCCGGCUAACUACGUGCCAGCAGCCGCGGUAAUACGUAGGGCGCGAACGUUGUCCGGAAUUACUGGGCGUAAAGGGUGCGCAGGCGGCUUCGCGCGUCAGAGGUUAAAUCCCGCGGCUCAACCGCGGACAUGCCUUUGAUACGGCGGGGCUUGAAUACGAGAGAGGAUGAUAGAAUUCCUGGUGUAGCGGUGAAAUGCGUAGAUAUCAGGAGGAAUACCGGUGGCGAAGGCGGUCAUCUGGCUCGUAAUUGACGCUUAGGCAC
RNAcentral lists this ribosomal RNA (400 nucleotides) under uncultured bacterium. RNAcentral describes it as "bacterial SSU rRNA". It matches the Rfam family "Bacterial small subunit ribosomal RNA", at positions 355 to 754 of the family's 1533-position model. The record is from RNAcentral.